GAGGCUUUGGAGCCUGCCUGGGCCGCAGCCCUCUGUGGCGGCCUUUUCCUCUCUGUCCCCUCCUUUCUUUUCAGGAACGUCCACAUAAUGCUCCCUCCCUCAGCCAAAUGUGACCUUCUCAACACUACCACGGCCUGGAGACAUUUCCUGCGGCCUGCACUCAGCGACUAGGCUUGGCCUCACCUUGUCGGGGCCUGAAACUACGGCGUCUCGUUGGGCCCAUUCUGCGUUCAAAUGUUUUGCCUUGCUCAUACGGCCCCAAAGAUUUCCACCUCAAUGUCCACCAUGCCAUGUACGAUUAUAACUUAAUUCUUAAACAUUAUUAUAAAAGAAUCCAAUGGAAAAGUGUAAUGAUGCAGAAAAGAAUUAUCCAUCCUGAAAAUAUUAUGUCAAUGCAGAGAAAAGCAGGAAAUCGCUGAGGUCCUACACUCCACUCUGCCUGAGCCUCAAGUGAAUAAAUGCAGAGAUUGUGCACACGGGAUCCAAACACUCGUAAAAAAGAUUCAUGGUGAUAUUCUGAGAAAAAAUUAAUAAAACCUAAGAGAACUUGUCA
Suricata suricatta (meerkat) is the source of this 553-nucleotide long non-coding RNA. RefSeq lists it as uncharacterized. The record is from RefSeq and is a predicted model, not a curated record. The transcript is spliced from 3 exons. NCBI's taxonomy places the organism in Eukaryota, Metazoa, Chordata, Mammalia, Carnivora, Herpestidae.